This 349-nucleotide ribosomal RNA is filed under the name uncultured bacterium. RNAcentral describes it as "partial 16S ribosomal RNA". It matches the Rfam family "Bacterial small subunit ribosomal RNA", at positions 338 to 698 of the family's 1533-position model. The record is from RNAcentral.
CCUACGGGUGGCUGCAGUCGAGAAUCAUUCACAAUGGGGGAAACCCUGAUGGUGUGACGCCGCGUGGGGGAAUGAAGGUCUUCGGAUUGUAAACCCCUGUCAUGUGGGAGCAAAUUAGAAAGAUAGUACCACACGAGGAAGAGACGGCUAACUCUGUGCCAGCAGCUGCGGUACUACAGAGGUCUCAAGCGGUGUUCGGAAUCACUGGGCGUAAAGGGUGCGUAGGCUGUUUCGUAAGUCGGGUGUGAAAGGUGCGGGCUCAACGCGCGGACGGCAUAUGAUACUGUGAAACUAGAGAAUUGGAGCGGGAGGCGGAAUGCAUGGUGUAGCAGUGAAAUGCGUAGAUAUC